Molecule: ribosomal RNA, 324 nt
Filed under: uncultured eukaryote
Lineage: Eukaryota
Description: partial 18S ribosomal RNA
Rfam family: Eukaryotic small subunit ribosomal RNA
Source: RNAcentral
CCCUUAGAUGUUCUGAACCGCACGCGUGUUACACUGAUGCAUUCAACGAGCUUUACCUUGGCCGAGAGGCCUGGGAAAUCUUUUUAGCAUGCAUCGUGAUAGGGAUUGAUUAUUGCAAUUAUUAAUCAUGAACGAGGAGUUCCUAGUAAACGCAUUUCAUCAAAAUGCAUUGAUUACGUCCCUGCCCUUUGUACACACCGCCCGUCGCACCUACCGAUUGAGUGGUCCGGUGAAGUCUCGAGAUUGUGGCAAUCUCCUUUAUUGGAGUUUGACUGCGAGAACUUGCCUAAACCUUAUCACUUAGAGGAAGGUGAAGUCGUAACA